Molecule: non-coding RNA, 28 nt
Filed under: Rattus norvegicus (Norway rat)
Lineage: Eukaryota; Metazoa; Chordata; Mammalia; Rodentia; Muridae
Source: RNAcentral
UACUUCUAAUGACUUACAUUGUUCUAGC